RNAcentral lists this small nuclear RNA (103 nucleotides) under Microtus ochrogaster (prairie vole). The record is from RNAcentral. Lineage: Eukaryota; Metazoa; Chordata; Mammalia; Rodentia; Cricetidae.
CUGCUUUGGUAGCACAGGUAUUAAAAUUGGAACAAUUCAGAGAAGGUUAGCAUGGCUCCAAUGUAAGGAUGACAUAGGCAUUCAUGGGAUAUUCCAAAAUUGU